Molecule: ribosomal RNA, 207 nt
Filed under: uncultured bacterium
Lineage: Bacteria
Description: partial 16S ribosomal RNA
Rfam family: Bacterial small subunit ribosomal RNA
Source: RNAcentral
CACGUAGGCGGCGACUCAAGUCAGAGGUGAAAGCCCGGGGCUCAACCCCGGAACUGCCUUUGAAACUAGGUCGCUAGAAUCUUGGAGAGGUCAGUGGAAUUCCGAGUGUAGAGGUGAAAUUCGUAGAUAUUCGGAAGAACACCAGUGGCGAAGGCGACUGACUGGACAAGUAUUGACGCUGAGGUGCGAAAGCGUGGGGAGCAAACA